UACCUGCCCAGUGAUUCAACGGCCGCGGUAUCCUAACCGUGCAAAGGUAGCAUAAUCACUUGCCUAUUAAUUGUAGGCUAGAAUGAAGGGGUUAACGAAAUAAAAACUGUCUCAGUUAAUUACCUAAAAAUUAUUUUCUAUCUGAAGAAAGGUAGAUUAACUCGAAGGACAAGAAGACCCUAUAGAGCUUAAUUUUUCGGUUGGGGCGACCCAGGGCUAAAUAAUCACCCAUUUUAUAAAAGAUACAUUAAUCAAAUAAGUGACCCUUAAAGAUCACAAAACAAAGCUACCUUAGGGAUAACAGGCUAAUCCCACUUAAGAGUCCUUAUCAACAGUGGGGAUUGGCACCUCGAUGUUGGCUUAGGGUAUCUAUAUAGCGCAAAAGUUAUAUAAAGAUGGUUUGUUCAACCAAU
RNAcentral lists this ribosomal RNA (413 nucleotides) under Amynthas dactilicus. Its description in RNAcentral is "partial 16S ribosomal RNA". It matches the Rfam family "Bacterial large subunit ribosomal RNA", at positions 1856 to 2589 of the family's 2925-position model. Lineage: Eukaryota; Metazoa; Annelida; Clitellata; Crassiclitellata; Megascolecidae. The record is from RNAcentral.